Non-coding RNA from Triticum urartu, 125 nucleotides. NCBI's taxonomy places the organism in Eukaryota, Viridiplantae, Streptophyta, Magnoliopsida, Poales, Poaceae. The record is from Rfam.
CUACUACUCCCUCCAUCCGGAAAUACCUGUCGGAGAAAUAGAUGUAUCUAAACGUAUUUUUAGUUCUAGAUACAUUCAUUUUUACCCAUUUCUACGACAAGUAAUUCCGGAUGGAGGGGUAUUUA